UCAUAUUCAAUAUUAUUUAGAAUUUAUCAAUUAUGUCCAUGUGCGUGCAAUGCAAACCUUAGUAUUUUAAAAGAAAAAAAUCAACCAAAAAAGUAGGACUUUAUUAGCAUCCAGAUAAAUUUCUUAAGGAGCAUUGGAAAACAAGAUUCACGCAUAUUAAACAUCUGCUUCAUUAUAACUGUUUAUUUCCACCAAAACCCUUUACUUGACUCUACAUAUAUGCUUUGUUUGGAGCUCUGAAAAAUUCAAGGGAAAAGAAUGGUUGUAGAAAAUUAAUAAAAAAAAAGGUAUAAAAUAAAUAAAUAAAUCAACACUGAAUUUUCAAUAUCACAUUCAGUUGAUUUUUAUUCAUUCAUUACCAAAAAAAAUUUAUUUUCAAUACCACAUUUAGUUGGCACCCAAAUGAACAACAUUCACAAUAUAAAGUUACAUCACGAGAAAUAUGAGAAUCUGAGCUUAUUGAUAGCAUAAGAGAAAGAUUAAAUGGGUUUUGUGAAGCAAACAGGGAGAAGAAAAGCAUCAUUGAAAAAAUGGGUUUCAAAAUCUUUAAAUUAGUUUUAGGGCAUAAAUAUAUACAUAUAUAUUAUCAAUAUUCGUACAUCAUAUAUACAAUAUGUGUAUGCAUACCUCUCUUGCUGCUGAUUUUAUUGAAUUUUGCUUCUGAUUUUGGGCGAAAAUUUGUAGAUGGCGAUUUUGGUGAGAAAGGGAGAGAUAGUGUGAUAUUGGUCGCAACGGGAGAGAGAGUCUGAUAUUUGGUAAAGGGAGAGAGAGGUGAAGUCUGACUUUGGUGAAGUUGCUAUAUAUUGACCUU
RNAcentral lists this long non-coding RNA (811 nucleotides) under Panax ginseng (ginseng). RNAcentral's name for it is "long non-coding RNA (PGIN_LNC004891)". The record is from RNAcentral. Lineage: Eukaryota; Viridiplantae; Streptophyta; Magnoliopsida; Apiales; Araliaceae.